UUAGUGAUACAGUGGAUACAGGUCAGCCGAAACGUGUAGACAAAAGGGAGUGUGAACAGCCAAUUUUUUUUUAAUCUCCGGAGGAGACACACUGGAAAGUAGGGCACGACUGCUCCCUUCGAGCUCCCUGGAUUGCCCAAUGUAUUUCCGCACCUUUUUGAACCAAGUCCAGAGGCAUCGCCAUGAUUUUUCGGAGAAAUGUACCUGUUACUGUAUUGGAUCAGAUUGUCGACCAAGAGGGGAGAAUGGGCUAUAUUUGGUUGUGCUCCCAGGUCCCAAAGAGUAUCAAAAGAGGGGAAGAAACUAUUACUAGCAAUCAGCUCCGCUGCAAAGAAAACAAUCUUGCAAAACUGGUCUUGCAAGGCCUGUGCUACCGAUACAAAGGUAUAUAUUUCUAGCAAAGUGGAACCGAAGAGCCGUAGUGGAAGGGGCAUCUCCCAGUUUAACUCUUGGUGGUGGCAAAUACAGUGUCGGCCGUAACCCAUGAAAGUCACU
Long non-coding RNA from Pseudophryne corroboree (corroboree frog), 495 nucleotides. RefSeq lists it as uncharacterized. NCBI's taxonomy places the organism in Eukaryota, Metazoa, Chordata, Amphibia, Anura, Myobatrachidae. The transcript is spliced from 4 exons. The record is from RefSeq and is a predicted model, not a curated record.